CACACGUAAGGCAUGGGAUUUUCCGGGAGAAAUCCGGAUCGUUCCGCCGGUGGGCGCCAUGCGCUCGACGCCUUGCGGAGGUUAAACCGGAAAAGGAGACAA
This 102-nucleotide small RNA is filed under the name Sinorhizobium saheli. RNAcentral's name for it is "rpsB sRNA". It matches the Rfam family "rpsB sRNA". Lineage: Bacteria; Pseudomonadati; Pseudomonadota; Alphaproteobacteria; Hyphomicrobiales; Rhizobiaceae. The record is from Rfam by way of RNAcentral.